GUGGGGAAUAUUGGACAAUGGGCGAAAGCCUGAUCCAGCCAUGCCGCGUGUGUGAAGAAGGUCUUCGGAUUGUAAAGCACUUUAAGUUGGGAGGAAGGGCAGUAAGUUAAUACCUUGCUGUUUUGACGUUACCGACAGAAUAAGCACCGGCUAACUUCGUGCCAGCAGCCGCGGUAAUACGAAGGGUGCAAGCGUUAAUCGGAAUUACUGGGCGUAAAGCGCGCGUAGGUGGUUUUGUAAGUUGGAGGUGAAAUCCCCGGGCUCAACCUGGGAACUGCCUCAGAAACUGCAUGACUAGAGUACGGUAGAGGGUAGUGGAAUUUCCUGUGUAGCGGUGAAAUGCGUAGAUAUAGGAAGGAACACCAGUGGCGAAGGCGACUACCUGGACUGAUACUGACACUGAGGUGCGAAAGCGUGGGGAGCAAACAGGAUUAGAAACCCUGGUAGUCC
Molecule: ribosomal RNA, 450 nt
Filed under: uncultured bacterium
Lineage: Bacteria
Description: partial 16S ribosomal RNA
Rfam family: Bacterial small subunit ribosomal RNA
Source: RNAcentral